Molecule: ribosomal RNA, 253 nt
Filed under: uncultured bacterium
Lineage: Bacteria
Description: partial 16S ribosomal RNA
Rfam family: Bacterial small subunit ribosomal RNA
Source: RNAcentral
UACGAAGGGGGCUAGCGUUGCUCGGAAUCACUGGGCGUAAAGCGCACGUAGGCGGACUCUUAAGUCGGUGGUGAAAUCCUGGAGCUCAACUCCAGAACUGCCUUCGAUACUGGGAGUCUCGAGUCCGGGAGAGGUGAGUGGAACUGCGAGUGUAGAGGUGAAAUUCGUAGAUAUUCGCAAGAACACCAGUGGCGAAGGCGGCUCACUGGCCCGGUACUGACGCUGAGGUACGAAAGCGUGGGGAGCAAACAGG